AUUAUCAGACUUGUUACAAGGUUGUUCUAACAAGUCUGAUACAGUCAUGCUAUAACAAGAAUGUUACAAGGUUGACGACACAAGGUUGUAACAAUAUUUUUAUAUCAUGACUGUAUCGGAUUUGUUGGAACAACCUUGCAACAAGUCUGACAAU
This 154-nucleotide microRNA precursor is filed under the name Paramuricea clavata. Lineage: Eukaryota; Metazoa; Cnidaria; Anthozoa; Malacalcyonacea; Plexauridae. The record is from RNAcentral.